Sinocyclocheilus rhinocerous is the source of this 2401-nucleotide long non-coding RNA. RefSeq lists it as uncharacterized. The record is from RefSeq and is a predicted model, not a curated record. Lineage: Eukaryota; Metazoa; Chordata; Actinopteri; Cypriniformes; Cyprinidae. The transcript is spliced from 3 exons.
AAAAAAAAAAAGAACCAAAAAAGAAAAUAAUCAUACAAUUGUGCUACAAGUGCCACUAACUCCUUGCCACUUGAAGCCACAAUUAGGGGAGUGCUUUCAACCUAGAAAAUGAAGGGAGAAGGGAGCAGCUCCACACUUUGGUACCUUGGCUUGUUCCAUGCAUCACCUAAAGGGUGACAGUGAUGAAGCAAGACCAUCUACCAUUGUGGAUUUUCUCUGACUCCCUUCUCUGUUAAGUGAAACAUUCUUAGCAGCCAUCUCUUUCAUGCAGGUUACCAAGGUCAAUCUGAAUGCCUUAUCAACUGUUCUUUCGAACUAACACUAGAAAUGUAUACACAAAGAGUGCACUUUAUUUCUGUGUUGUUGUUUUUUUCUUUUUCUUUUUUUUAAGACUUGGGUAAAACCCCAGCUUCUUAUCCUUGCGUAACAACUCGACUGCCCUCUUGAGCACCUCUCCAACUUUCAGAGACAUUCACUAGCCAAUCAAGUAACCAAUGUAAACCCACAUAUGACACACUAACUGUAUACAUAAAUCCAAUUUAAUUGAGCCUUUAGCAUGUGCAAAAGUUUUAGCAUGUGCAAAACUAGCGGCAUGAUCAGGGACUGGUCAACGGUUUAGUUAAACACAAGCAGUGAUCAUGGUGUUCUUGCACUUGCUUGCAAUUUUAGCAUUACAAUAAGGCUCUCUUCAAUCUGGCAACAAUACAUGCACCUUAAACAUGAAAUCCCCAAUCCCAUGCUAACUGCAUUCAGAAUAAUAAGUUAAGGAUUUUCAAGGCAGUUGCACUACAGUAUAAGAAUAACACUCAUAGCAAAAGACCUCAAGUACAUCAAACACUGUUCGAAUCUGGAUCUUCAAAAUACGCAAUACAUUGCUGAUUGCCGUGUACAUUCACAUCCGCCAGCACUAUGGUAAAUCCCAUUAAGACAUUUGUGUGAUUUUUCCAGUUGAUCUGAUACUGAUUCCUAAAUGUUGGAUUGAAUACAACUUCAUGCUCCUUAUGUAUUUUCAUACUGUAUUCCAUUUAUGUGUUUGAUUAUUUGUGGAUUGUUUUGGCCUUUCACAGUUUAGCGCAAAUGCUUCACAAGAUCUCAGGUAAGCAAUCUGUAGCCUGUUUGCUUUAGGUUUACACUGCCUUUCAUGUUGAUAGUUUAAAUAUCCCAUCAUGGAUUUAAUCAGCCCAACCUUUCUUCUUAAGGAUGUUAAGUGCAUUCAAACCAAAAGUCAAUUUUAAGGGAGACAGGUGAAUACUAUGUCUAAUUUGACUGCCACACGCAACUGGCAAAGCUGUGUCUAGUGAAUUGCUUUCUUGGUGCCUUUGUGUUUCAACCCACAUGGCUAAAAUAAAGACGUCCUCACAAGUAAAGGGAGAAGCAUCACAUAACUGAACUGUAGUCAAAACGGCGCAUUCAGAUUAAUCAUUUUCAAGGCCUUCUUACGAGAAAAAGGACAUUUCACAAUAUCCUAAAAGAUGACCGUAAGAAUUUUAGAAUGAACUUAAAUUACGUAGAAAUAUCAAAAGAAACAGCUCCACUUUUAAGACUUGCCAUGUGAAAGAUGGCAUUUUCUUGCUCAUUUUUCUUUCAAAGACGUUUCAUGCAACAACAAUUUCUUUGAACAAUGAAACACAUAUUUGUUAUAUGUUCAGUUAAAAAAAGAAGCUUGUUUUACAUAUUUUUAAAUAUACUUCUUUUCCAGGGCAGGCACCGUACGCACAAACCAGGUACAGAGGCAUGCCACAAACUUGCAUUGCUUUUGCAUUCUACUAUUGGCAGCUGUGAUGUCAUUGAAGCAGCAAGCUGGUGGGCAGUCCUAUUAUUUGGUUGAUCCCGAACAUCUCACAUUCUAAGCCAUGCCCACAACUCUCCACACUGCUACUGUGACAUCACAGAGGGAGGGAGGUAUGGGGAUAGUACAAGCUAGAAUGGGAAAAAGGCAGCGCAACAAGACUCCGUGGCGCAUGCAGAGAUGGGUGUGGGGUUGAAAGGUUGGGGACGUAAGGGAGGGAGAGGUCUGGCCCAGGGUUGCAGUCAGAUAUUCGGAAGAGGGUGGGGUUAAAGUCGAGGAAAACGGACGAUGUUCAUGUUUGUUUGUUUUUUUGUUGUUGUUGUUUUUUGUUUUUUUUGCACUACAUGUUACUUCUAUGUAUUUUAAAUCACAUUUAGUUUCUUAAAUUUAUACAACAUUAUGUCACAGAUGAGGCUCAUUGUGGUUUGUAUCUCUCCCUGUGCUGGUACUGUGAUAGGAGGAUAGAGACAGAGAGAGAUUAUGGAUAUUGCAUCGGAGGAGCAAUAUUAAACUGGGAAGCAUGACCACAAUUCAGCAAUUUUGUACUGCAAUCGGUACCGGCUGUAGCGAAUCUGGAAGAAGAGCCUCUCCAGCGGUGAACGGGUCAUCCCA